CCUACGGGAGGCAGCAGUGAGGAAUAUUGGUCAAUGGGCGCGAGCCUGAACCAGCCAAGUCGCGUGAGGGAAGACGGUACUGUGUAUUGUAAACCUCUUUUGUCGGGGAGCAAAAGACGCCACGCGUGCCGUUCCGAGAGUACCCGAAGAAAAAGCAUCGGCUAACUCCGUGCCAGCAGCCGCGGUAAUACGGAGGAUGCGAGCGUUAUCCGGAUUUAUUGGGUUUAAAGGGUGCGCAGGCGGAAGAUCAAGUCAGCGGUAAAAUUGAGAGGCUCAACCUCUGCGAGCCGUUGAACCUGGUGUUCUGGAGUGAGUGAGAAGUAUGCGGAAUGCGUGGUGUAGCGGUGAAAUGCAUAGAUAUCACGCAGAACCCCGAUUGCGAAGGCAGCAUACCGGCGCUAAACUGACGCUCAGGCACGAAAGUGUGGGUAUCGAACAGGAUUAGAUACCCUAGUAGUC
Molecule: ribosomal RNA, 459 nt
Filed under: uncultured bacterium
Lineage: Bacteria
Description: partial 16S ribosomal RNA
Rfam family: Bacterial small subunit ribosomal RNA
Source: RNAcentral